This 1155-nucleotide ribosomal RNA is filed under the name Triticum aestivum (bread wheat). RNAcentral describes it as "partial small subunit ribosomal RNA". The record is from RNAcentral. Lineage: Eukaryota; Viridiplantae; Streptophyta; Magnoliopsida; Poales; Poaceae.
AUGGGGGGAGGGACGAAGAGAGGCGGCGGCGUGGUUGAUGAGCCGGAGGACAAGUCCAGCAAGCGUCGCAAGAUCUGCAACGUCGCCAAGGAAGACGUGCUUCCCCUCGCUGUCUUCUCCCACCUACCGGCUCGCGACGCCGCUCGUGGCGUCGUACUCUCCAAGCGGUGGAGGGAGAUCUUGACCGGGGGCGACUUCUGGGCCAAUCACUACCAGCGCCCCAGCAAGGAGGUAUGCCUAGCCUAUCUCGACCGCGGCCAUAGGCUCCCGUUCAAGUUCAGUCUCUACGGGCUCGAGGGAAAGCACGCCUUCUAUCUUGUUGCCGCCGGCGACACGUUUCCUAUCUCUCACGGCCUGCCCGUCGCCGGCACCGAGCUUUCGUACAGGUUCUUUGGGUCUUGCAACGGCCUUGUUGCCUUCGAGCAGCGCGGGCUGAGCGAUUCCUCUAUGACAUGUCUCGUGGCCAAUCCUGCAACGUCUCAACACUUGACCGCUCAGCUCUUAGAUCUGGGCACCUUCUCCUGGAUGCUCGCCUUCGGGUAUGAUCCUAAGGAAGAUAAGUAUAAAGUGUUCGUUCAGUGUGGCAGUGAUGUACAUGUCGUGCCCCUUACCCUGAGCGGCACCGACGGCAGCAGGCCUGUCACUGUUCUACCUAAUGUGGCUCACGACUUGGACAAAUUGCAAAACAACACCUACUCGCUGUGCAUUGAAGGAAACUGCUAUGUUCUGCUAUCCCCCAGGGAUGAUGGUACUGGGUCUCAAUCCAGCAAGGAAAAACUUCUCGUGUUCCAUGUGCAGAGCGAGUUGGUGACCAGCAUUGACACGCCAGAGGAUGGCACCCUGUUUUCAGGCAUAAUGGAGAUGGGUAAGAGUGUGUGCGAUACGACUUUGUCUCGCGACCGCCCGGAGAUAACAUUGUCUGUUCUGAACUCUGGUCUUCUCUGGGAGCGGAUGUGCUGUUUGAGCGUCUCACCAUCACCAGGAGGAAGGGGGCCUGGACUGCUUGGGGCCUGGCAAUGCAAACAACGCCUCGUGCUUUGGUUCCGCGAGCAUGGUCUUGCGUUCUACAAUCUCAGUCCGGCGAAUCUCGUUGACGCCGUGCACGGGUGCACACAGACAUGUAGCUUGGAGGGCUACCAAGAGGAAAAUCAUUAG